CUUGCCCAUCAGAGGUGGACCCACUCACCUGCCUGCUGAGGAUCCAGGCACCCAGCCUAUGUAGGCCCACAAGUUGCCUGAGGGCUUGCUGUUGGGUGAGCCCAAUCCCUGUGGCAGCUGCCUGUUCUAGCUGAGCUGGAUUAGAUCAAAGCUUUAGUGAGUGGGGCAGACCCUGGGCUAACAGGCCAGGGGAAAAACUCCAAUUGUUUCUGUCAGUAUCUAUGUCAGCAUGCUUGUAGCAUGUCACAGUAAUGACUGCUGCCAAUGUCUCAGUCCCUGGAGAGGUCUCACCUCUCACCAAGAUGCACCCAGAGCCUAUCAGCCCCACCCCUAAACCUGAAGAGUAGGUGACUUCACCCCUCAGUGAACACACUGUCUUGCCCACUGUGUUUCACCAGCACGUUUCUGAAGUGGAGCAAAUUAUAGCAACUCCUUGAACCCAGCUUUCUCCAUCUCAGAAGGUCAAGGGAUUAACUUCAGCACCUUAAAGGGGACUCGUCACCUGGAUUGAGGUACUAAAAGGACUUUUCUUCCAAUGCAGAAUCCUUCAAGCUGACAGGCAGACUGCCACACGCAGCACCUCAUUUGGACAUGUCUGGAGCUUUGGAAGUUUGGCUACCCUAUGCUCUACAAAUGGACCUUGAGAACUUAUUUGGACAUUCUAGCAAGAGAGAGCUCAGCUACUCAUAUACCCUACACUGAAGAAUGGUCCUCCUCUAUUGGGGAAAGUUGUCCUCUGAUGGAGUAUGCAGCUUCAGGAGGGACACCCAUGGAGUGUUGAGGGAGGAGGGGGACACCUCCCUCGCCAACCAGAUCAGCCAAGGCAACCCUGACAAUCAAUGGGGUGACAGAUGUCUCAGCCAGAUUGUCCUCACAUCCUCUUUUUAUUCUUAAAUUGCCUCUAACUGCAAUGCUUUUGAUCCUGGAAAUGGAUUAUGUACUAUGAAAGCCAUGAGAAGAUGCUGAAACAGAGAGGAAUUUGGUUUGCUGUUUGCUUAUUUUUUCCCCCAACAAAAAGCCCAGCUUUCCAGAAGGUCUUUAGAAAAUCAGUUUUUGUUUUAUUCCCCAUGACAAUCUUCUAAAAAGUCUUUUUAAAUCAAAGGAAAUAAAAGUGAGAGAAACCAAAGAAAAUAGGAAUUGUAAAUAAGAUGCUACUGCCUAAUAACCAAAUAGUAAAUAACGUUACAACACAGAAGAUUAAGGAGGUAAGAGCAGGAAUGUUUCCAAGUGUAGCUGAGUGGAGCCCACAGCGUGACCAACUUACUGACACACUUGUUUGCUCUGAGAAAACAAUUCACAGCACCACAAUUUGAAGUCGUACUAAAGAUGUAAAGGUAAAAACGACAGUCUCGGGGGCAUUAACUCUACGUGGACGUGUCUUUUCUUGGACUGAAACAUUUUUUUCAGUUUCUGGGUUUUGAUACAUGCAACAGAAAAACUGGAAAUUUGAUACAGAUUUGUUUCUUUCCAAGGGCAUUGUGUUAAUUAAAAUGCCAAUGCAGACGUCCAAUUUCUGCUCAGAGAUGUAGAGAGCAUGAAAGAGAGUCGUUCCCACACUUACAAUAAGAAAAUAGCAAGGCAAACUACAAAUUAAUGACUUAUAUUGGACCCAUUAGAGAACUGAGGUUGCAAGACAAACAAU
Long non-coding RNA from Equus caballus (horse), 1642 nucleotides. Lineage: Eukaryota; Metazoa; Chordata; Mammalia; Perissodactyla; Equidae. The record is from Ensembl.